UACGUAGGGUGCAAGCGUUAAUCGGAAUUACUGGGCGUAAAGCGUGCGCAGGCGGUUGGAUAAGUCUGAUGUGAAAUCCCCGAGCUCAACUUGGGAACUGCAUUGGAGACUGUUCAGCUAGAGUACGUCAGAGGGGGGUGGAAUUCCACGUGUAGCAGUGAAAUGCGUAGAGAUGUGGAGGAACACCGAUGGCGAAGGCAGCCCCCUGGGAUGAUACUGACGCUCAUGCACGAAAGCGUGGGGAGCAAACAGG
This 253-nucleotide ribosomal RNA is filed under the name uncultured bacterium. RNAcentral's name for it is "partial 16S ribosomal RNA". It matches the Rfam family "Bacterial small subunit ribosomal RNA", at positions 524 to 776 of the family's 1533-position model. The record is from RNAcentral.